This 447-nucleotide ribosomal RNA is filed under the name uncultured bacterium. RNAcentral describes it as "partial 16S ribosomal RNA". It matches the Rfam family "Bacterial small subunit ribosomal RNA", at positions 29 to 523 of the family's 1533-position model. The record is from RNAcentral.
AACGAACGCUGGCGGCAGGCCUAACACAUGCAAGUCGAACGCCCCGCAAAGGGAGUGGCAGACGGGUGAGUAACGCGUGGGAACCUUCCCUGUGGUACGGAAUAACUGACCGAAAGGUUGGCUAAUACCGUAUACGUCCGAAAGGAGAAAGAUUUAUCGCCAUAGGAUGGGCCCGCGUCGGAUUAGCUAGUUGGUGAGGUAAUGGCUCACCAAGGCGACGAUCCGUAGCUGGUCUGAGAGGAUGAUCAGCCACACUGGGACUGAGACACGGCCCAGACUCCUACGGGAGGCAGCAGUGGGGAAUAUUGGACAAUGGGCGCAAGCCUGAUCCAGCCAUGCCGCGUGAGUGAUGAAGGUCUUCGGAUUGUAAAACUCUUUCGCCGGGGAAGAUAAUGACGGUACCCGGAGAAGAAGCUCCGGCUAAUUUCGUGCCAGCAGCCGCGGUAA